Saccostrea cuccullata (small rock oyster) is the source of this 768-nucleotide long non-coding RNA. RefSeq lists it as uncharacterized. The transcript is spliced from 5 exons. The record is from RefSeq and is a predicted model, not a curated record. Lineage: Eukaryota; Metazoa; Mollusca; Bivalvia; Ostreida; Ostreidae.
CCUGUGCAUCAAUACGUUUUACCUGCGUUUUUAUACCUGUUGCAUCACCUGUAAGGACCGUGUGCAAAAAAUUAGGGUCGUGUGCAAAAAUAGGUUGGACUUAAUUACCUUUUGAUCGUACUAUGUACGAUUUUGUACACAGUCUAGUCAGCGAGCUACCUAUGCAUUAUUACAUCAUACACUUGUAAAAUUAAAGUUUCAUUUUCACUUUUGUUUCUAAGAAGUGAACUUAGAUUUUCAGAAAAUGUAGGACUAUCUUUUGUUUUUCCUCUCUUUUACUAUGAUGAUUUUCCUGCUGUAAAGCUUUUCUUGUAUAAAGCUCAAUUUCUCUAUGACCACGGAAAUAAGCAUCCUGAUGUAUUCUUGUCAUGUGAAUGUAGAGAGCGUGUUCAUUUUUGAAAUCUCCUUUCUGACAGACAUAUUCCACAGGAUCAGCUGAGAUGUUAUUUCACUGGAUUAUUUAAUGGAUAGGCUUAUUGGGCAUAAAGUUGGAUAUCUCUGGAUCAGCUGAGAUGUUAUUUCACUGGAUUAUUUAAUGGAUAGGCUUAUUAGGCAUAUAGUUGGAUAUCUCUGUCAUCAACAUGGAAUGUAUGACUUCAUCUUUAUACAGUCGGGUUCGGGUUCGGCGGUCAUGGCGAAUCUCGGCAAGAUUUUACCCCCAGUGAAAAAGGCUUGUAAUCCACCGUUCCUCAACCUGGAAGAUAUGUUUUGUUCCUAACCAUCUAUAAUCCAUUCUCUAUGAAGUGAAGCCUGGCUGCUGGUCUUCCU